Molecule: transfer RNA, 73 nt
Filed under: Candidatus Woesearchaeota archaeon
Lineage: Archaea; Nanobdellati; Candidatus Woesearchaeota
Description: tRNA-Val
Rfam family: tRNA
About the family: Transfer RNA (tRNA) molecules are approximately 80 nucleotides in length.
Source: RNAcentral
GGGCUCGUGGUCUAGCGGUUAUGAUAGAUCCUUGACGUGGAUCUGGUCGCAGGUUCAAAUCCUGCCGGGCCCA